ACAUAUAGUGACCUCGAUUUGUCAGAAAAGUUAGUCAUUAGUGUUACUAUGGUGAAAAGUCAGGUAUGUCAACUUAUAUAACCUUUUUUUUUUCUUUUUUUUUCUUUGGGUGUCUUUUUGCUGUUUGUGAAAUGAAGGGAGAUAGAGAGAGGGGGGAAGAAAUGCGAAAUGCGUGCGGUCCCCGUGCAUGGGGGUUGCUAACCUGCUCGGCCAGCUGCGCAGCCCUAGCUUAAAUAACCUUUUAAGUUGGAACUUGAUUUUAAGACCUACUCUGAUGAAAAUCAUGGUUUUCUUGUUACAUGUUUAUCUGGCAUUUUUCUGAUUCUAGAGGACAUAUUAUGAGAAAAGUAACUGCAAAAUUGCAUUUCUGAGGAUUUCGUCAUUCAAAUCACAGUGAACCCCUCACAGACCCAAGCCACAGGUUGAGACACAGUGAGAUUUCCUACGUCACAACUUCAAGCUCCGCCCUCGCAGCCUGCUAUGCAGGCCAGACUCAGAGAGGUAGAGAGGACAACUGUGGAACAAGCGGCUGCGUUAGCAGAUUGCAAUGCUGGUAAGCAAGCUAAUCAUGAAAUUAGCUUUCAUCCUGUCCCUAAAGACAUUAAUGUCCAAGAGCUGAAUAGCUCCUAUGUUACCUGCUACUUCUACUACACCGGCAAUGUUAGGAAGCAAGCUUGCGUGAAGAGGAGUGUACAGAGCAGUGCUGUCCCCACCCAACUUAGAAGUGAAUCGCUGAUGAGCUACUAGAGCUCUGCAGAAGAAAAGCCCUUGAAAUUACACAGGUAAUUUGAUUUUGGCUAAAAACUUCAUAAUCACAAUUUAAAGGACACUAAGAACACUUUAAAUAGUAAAGAAAAAAUGCCAUCAGAGUGGGACUUUUACAGUCAGGUAACAUUAAUUUUGAUUGUCUGAAUUUUGAGCAGAUGAAAAAAAAAAAGCAGGAAGAACAAGGACAAUCCAAGGAGCAGAUGAAUGCAGCAAGUGAGUCAGAGCAUGGGGACGCAGGUGGUUAUCAAACCUCUGGUCUUGAGGAAACAAAGCCGGUACUAAUGUGCAACAAGCUGUUGUUUUGUGAUUGACAACAACAGAAGCACCUAAAACCACAUACACACUGAGCAAAGAAAUGCCUGAUUUUUGCGCAAAAUCAAACAAGUUUAUAAGCUGGUUUUAAAAAUGGUUUGAUUAGCUUACUGCCCUCAUGGCACCUUCUGUACAGGGAGGAAUUUUUUGCAGCAUGCUGAUUUUGGUGUUUUCAAGGUUACAAGGUUGGCAAAUCAGAGGCACAGCUGUGUUGACUGACAGGCAGGCACAAAGUAGCUAUUUACAAAGAGGCUAAAAGCCGGGCUCUUGUGGGUUGACCAAAAGUGAGGUCAAGUCCACCUAUCCAUCCAUCUUCUACCCCUUAUUCGGGUCAGAUCACAGGGGCAGCAGUCUAAACACGUUCUCUUUCUCAGCACAGUUGCCAGACGGUCCCGACCCUUGGCAAGUGUUGCGCUGAGCCCUGCAGAGGAUGUGGCAUUCUCCACACUUCCUCAAAUAAGCAUAGAGGGAUUUGGUGUCUGUGAGGUUGGACCCACAGGUAAGACAAACAUUAUUUUCCACAAAUAAAGACACUCACAUGAAGUAGCAUACACUGUAUUUAACCACGUGUUUCAAAGGUGUGUUGUGUGCACAGGUAACAUAAAAAAUGCCAUGCGUGAUGGGAUUAAAAUUGGAACCACCUGUGCGUAAAGGACGCAUCAUGUAAAGGAUGUUUUUUUUCUUCUUCCACUAAUGUUUGCAUGUGAAAUGAACUUGGCUCACACAAUUUAUUAUAACUGAUUUAUUCCAAAUGAAAGUGUCUUUAACUGUGUUAUUCACAUUUUAAAAAGAAAUCACUAAUAUGAUCACUAAAAUAAAGUAUUUGGGCAGAGGUGGCGGCAGCAACUCUGCCCACAGCAGGUCAGAGAGAAGGAGGAGGAGGACGAGGACAACCAGGGGGGUCCGGUGCCAGAGACCCAGGAGGAGAGGUCAGGUCACAGAUCUGAGCUGAGAAGGCAAUGGCGGGGACAUGUCCAGGUGCAGGAAGAGGACCGGCUCUUCCAGGUGUCGGAGAAGGAGCUGGGGGCAAUGGGGACUCAUCUUGAAUUACUGGAGGCACAGGUGAAAACUCUGCAGGAGGUCCUCCAGGCCAGCCUGCUCCCCUUGGCCUCUGGUGCUGCCUCCUUGGGUAGACUUGUAGAUGUUGCUGAAAGGCUGCUGACUAUUCAAGAGCCAUCCACCGCCCCCACCUGUCCCAGUUAGCCAUUGAGGCCACACAUGAGAGGGGCUCUCUGGGUCCAUUGACAG
Xyrichtys novacula (pearly razorfish) is the source of this 2328-nucleotide non-coding RNA. The record is from the annotation of a GenBank genome assembly. NCBI's taxonomy places the organism in Eukaryota, Metazoa, Chordata, Actinopteri, Labriformes, Labridae.